RNAcentral lists this ribosomal RNA (1430 nucleotides) under Escherichia coli. RNAcentral's name for it is "bacterial SSU rRNA". It matches the Rfam family "Bacterial small subunit ribosomal RNA". Lineage: Bacteria; Pseudomonadati; Pseudomonadota; Gammaproteobacteria; Enterobacterales; Enterobacteriaceae. The record is from RNAcentral.
UGGGAAACUGCCUGAUGGAGGGGGAUAACUACUGGAAACGGUAGCUAAUACCGCAUAACGUCGCAAGACCAAAGAGGGGGACCUUAGGGCCUCUUGCCAUCGGAUGUGCCCAGAUGGGAUUAGCUAGUAGGUGGGGUAACGGCUCACCUAGGCGACGAUCCCUAGCUGGUCUGAGAGGAUGACCAGCCACACUGGAACUGAGACACGGUCCAGACUCCUACGGGAGGCAGCAGUGGGGAAUAUUGCACAAUGGGCGCAAGCCUGAUGCAGCCAUGCCGCGUGUAUGAAGAAGGCCUUCGGGUUGUAAAGUACUUUCAGCGGGGAGGAAGGGAGUAAAGUUAAUACCUUUGCUCAUUGACGUUACCCGCAGAAGAAGCACCGGCUAACUCCGUGCCAGCAGCCGCGGUAAUACGGAGGGUGCAAGCGUUAAUCGGAAUUACUGGGCGUAAAGCGCACGCAGGCGGUUUGUUAAGUCAGAUGUGAAAUCCCCGGGCUCAACCUGGGAACUGCAUCUGAUACUGGCAAGCUUGAGUCUCGUAGAGGGGGGUAGAAUUCCAGGUGUAGCGGUGAAAUGCGUAGAGAUCUGGAGGAAUACCGGUGGCGAAGGCGGCCCCCUGGACGAAGACUGACGCUCAGGUGCGAAAGCGUGGGGAGCAAACAGGAUUAGAUACCCUGGUAGUCCACGCCGUAAACGAUGUCGACUUGGAGGUUGUGCCCUUGAGGCGUGGCUUCCGGAGCUAACGCGUUAAGUCGACCGCCUGGGGAGUACGGCCGCAAGGUUAAAACUCAAAUGAAUUGACGGGGGCCCGCACAAGCGGUGGAGCAUGUGGUUUAAUUCGAUGCAACGCGAAGAACCUUACCUGGUCUUGACAUCCACGGAAGUUUUCAGAGAUGAGAAUGUGCCUUCGGGAACCGUGAGACAGGUGCUGCAUGGCUGUCGUCAGCUCGUGUUGUGAAAUGUUGGGUUAAGUCCCGCAACGAGCGCAACCCUUAUCCUUUGUUGCCAGCGGUCCGGCCGGGAACUCAAAGGAGACUGCCAGUGAUAAACUGGAGGAAGGUGGGGAUGACGUCAAGUCAUCAUGGCCCUUACGACCAGGGCUACACACGUGCUACAAUGGCGCAUACAAAGAGAAGCGACCUCGCGAGAGCAAGCGGACCUCAUAAAGUGCGUCGUAGUCCGGAUUGGAGUCUGCAACUCGACUCCAUGAAGUCGGAAUCGCUAGUAAUCGUGGAUCAGAAUGCCACGGUGAAUACGUUCCCGGGCCUUGUACACACCGCCCGUCACACCAUGGGAGUGGGUUGCAAAAGAAGUAGGUAGCUUAACCUUCGGGAGGGCGCUUACCACUUUGUGAUUCAUGACUGGGGUGAAGUCGUAACAAGGUAACCGUAGGGGAACCUGCGGUUGGAUCACCUCCUUACCUUAAAGAAGC